This 349-nucleotide unclassified non-coding RNA is filed under the name Melitaea cinxia (Glanville fritillary). RNAcentral's name for it is "misc RNA ENSMCXG00005001909.1". The record is from RNAcentral. Lineage: Eukaryota; Metazoa; Arthropoda; Insecta; Lepidoptera; Nymphalidae.
AGCGAAAUUAAGAACAAUUAAAAUACUACAACAAGCAAAGCACAACAUGUACGCCUAUAGAUUCAUAAGAAAAACGGGCAAAGCUACACAGGUGUAACGACGACGGGGAGCGGCAAGGAGGUUCAAGAAUGCUACAUUUGAUGCAGAUGAUGGAGCAAACGAAUAUCUUGGUGGUUGUCACUAGGCGGUACGGUGGUAUUCAAUUAGGUUCCGACAGAUUUCGUCCUAUAAACAAUGCAACACGGCAAGUCAUACAGCAAGCUGGGUUAUUAAAAAAAAGACGAGGUGGAUAACAUUUUUUAUUAAAUACUAAUACAGGUGUAUAUAAAAUAAAAAAAUUUAAUAAAAA